RNAcentral lists this ribosomal RNA (1790 nucleotides) under Escherichia coli. RNAcentral describes it as "partial 23S ribosomal RNA". It matches the Rfam family "Bacterial large subunit ribosomal RNA", at positions 358 to 2136 of the family's 2925-position model. The record is from RNAcentral. Lineage: Bacteria; Pseudomonadati; Pseudomonadota; Gammaproteobacteria; Enterobacterales; Enterobacteriaceae.
UACAGGGUGACAGCCCCGUACACAAAAAUGCACAUGCUGUGAGCUCGAUGAGUAGGGCGGGACACGUGGUAUCCUGUCUGAAUAUGGGGGGACCAUCCUCCAAGGCUAAAUACUCCUGACUGACCGAUAGUGAACCAGUACCGUGAGGGAAAGGCGAAAAGAACCCCGGCGAGGGGAGUGAAAAAGAACCUGAAACCGUGUACGUACAAGCAGUGGGAGCACGCUUAGGCGUGUGACUGCGUACCUUUUGUAUAAUGGGUCAGCGACUUAUAUUCUGUAGCAAGGUUAACCGAAUAGGGGAGCCGAAGGGAAACCGAGUCUUAACUGGGCGUUAAGUUGCAGGGUAUAGACCCGAAACCCGGUGAUCUAGCCAUGGGCAGGUUGAAGGUUGGGUAACACUAACUGGAGGACCGAACCGACUAAUGUUGAAAAAUUAGCGGAUGACUUGUGGCUGGGGGUGAAAGGCCAAUCAAACCGGGAGAUAGCUGGUUCUCCCCGAAAGCUAUUUAGGUAGCGCCUCGUGAAUUCAUCUCCGGGGGUAGAGCACUGUUUCGGCAAGGGGGUCAUCCCGACUUACCAACCCGAUGCAAACUGCGAAUACCGGAGAAUGUUAUCACGGGAGACACACGGCGGGUGCUAACGUCCGUCGUGAAGAGGGAAACAACCCAGACCGCCAGCUAAGGUCCCAAAGUCAUGGUUAAGUGGGAAACGAUGUGGGAAGGCCCAGACAGCCAGGAUGUUGGCUUAGAAGCAGCCAUCAUUUAAAGAAAGCGUAAUAGCUCACUGGUCGAGUCGGCCUGCGCGGAAGAUGUAACGGGGCUAAACCAUGCACCGAAGCUGCGGCAGCGACGCUGAUGCGUUGUUGGGUAGGGGAGCGUUCUGUAAGCCUGUGAAGGUGUGCUGUGAGGCAUGCUGGAGGUAUCAGAAGUGCGAAUGCUGACAUAAGUAACGAUAAAGCGGGUGAAAAGCCCGCUCGCCGGAAGACCAAGGGUUCCUGUCCAACGUUAAUCGGGGCAGGGUGAGUCGACCCCUAAGGCGAGGCCGAAAGGCGUAGUCGAUGGGAAACAGGUUAAUAUUCCUGUACUUGGUGUUACUGCGAAGGGGGGACGGAGAAGGCUAUGUUGGCCGGGCGACGGUUGUCCCGGUUUAAGCGUGUAGGCUGGUUUUCCAGGCAAAUCCGGAAAACUAAGGCUGAGGCGUGAUGACGAGGCACUACGGUGCUGAAGCAACAAAUGCCCUGCUUCCAGGAAAAGCCUCUAAGCAUCAGGUAACAUCAAAUCGUACCCCAAACCGACACAGGUGGUCAGGUAGAGAAUACCAAGGCGCUUGAGAGAACUCGGGUGAAGGAACUAGGCAAAAUGGUGCCGUAACUUCGGGAGAAGGCACGCUGAUAUGUAGGUGAAGUCCCUCGCGGAUGGAGCUGAAAUCAGUCGAAGAUACCAGCUGGCUGCAACUGUUUAUUAAAAACACAGCACUGUGCAAACACGAAAGUGGACGUAUACGGUGUGACGCCUGCCCGGUGCCGGAAGGUUAAUUGAUGGGGUCAGCGCAAGCGAAGCUCUUGAUCGAAGCCCCGGUAAACGGCGGCCGUAACUAUAACGGUCCUAAGGUAGCGAAAUUCCUUGUCGGGUAAGUUCCGACCUGCACGAAUGGCGUAAUGAUGGCCAGGCUGUCUCCACCCGAGACUCAGUGAAAUUGAACUCGCUGUGAAGAUGCAGUGUACCCGCGGCAAGACGGAAAGACCCCGUGAACCUUUACUAUAGCUUGACACUGAACAUUGAGCCUUGAUG